GCCCUCCUAGCUCAGCCCGGUUAGAGCGUGUGGCUGUUAACCACAAGGUCGCCAGUUCAAAUCUGGCGGAGGGCG
RNAcentral lists this transfer RNA (75 nucleotides) under Candidatus Woesearchaeota archaeon. RNAcentral describes it as "tRNA-Asn". It matches the Rfam family "tRNA". Rfam says of the family: Transfer RNA (tRNA) molecules are approximately 80 nucleotides in length. The record is from RNAcentral. Lineage: Archaea; Nanobdellati; Candidatus Woesearchaeota.